Molecule: transfer RNA, 70 nt
Filed under: Dugesia japonica
Lineage: Eukaryota; Metazoa; Platyhelminthes; Tricladida; Dugesiidae
Description: tRNA-Ser
Source: RNAcentral
UAAGAAACUAUACAUUAGAAUACGAAGCUUCUAACUUUGUGUUGUUAGGUUUGUUUUCUAACUUUCUUAU